Molecule: ribosomal RNA, 448 nt
Filed under: uncultured bacterium
Lineage: Bacteria
Description: SSU rRNA
Rfam family: Bacterial small subunit ribosomal RNA
Source: RNAcentral
AGAACGAACGCUGGCGGCAGGCCUCAAACAUGCAAGUCUAGGGGGUGUAGCAAUACAUCACCGGCGGACGGGUGCGUAACACGUGGGAAUAUACCUUUCGGUACGGAACAACUGCGGGAAACUGCAGCUAAUACCGUAUACGUCCUUGCGGAGAAAGAUUUAUCGCCGAAGGAUUAGCCCGCGUUCGAUUAGCUAGUUGGUGAGGUAAUGGCUCACCAAGGCUCCGAUCGAUAGCUGUUCUGAGAGGAAGAUCAGCCACACUGGGACUGAGACACGGCCCAGACUCCUACGGGAGGCAGCAGUUGGGAAUCUUGGACAAUGGGGGAAACCCUGAUCCAGCCAUGCCGCGUGAGUGAUGAAGGCCUUCGGGUUGUAAAGCUCUUUUACCCGGGAAGAUAAUGACUGUACCGGGAGAAUAAGCUCCGGCUAACUUCGUGCCAGCAGCCGC